This 1514-nucleotide ribosomal RNA is filed under the name uncultured rumen bacterium. Its description in RNAcentral is "partial 16S ribosomal RNA". It matches the Rfam family "Bacterial small subunit ribosomal RNA". The record is from RNAcentral.
AGAGUUUGAUCAUGGCUCAGGAUGAACGCUAGCUACAGGCUUAACACAUGCAAGUCGCGGGGCAUCGCGAAGGGUAGCAAUACUCUUUGGCGGCGACCGGCGGAUUGGUGAGUAACGCGUAUCCAACCUGGCCCUAUCUCGGGCACAGCCCCUCGAAAGAGGGAUUAAUUCCCGAUGUUCCCGUUAGUUCGCAUGUUCUUUCGGGCAAAGGUAUUUAUCGGAUAGGGAUGGGGAUGCGUUCCAUUAGGCAGUCGGCGGGGUAACGGCCCACCGAGCCUUCGAUGGAUAGGGGUUCUGAGAGGAAGGCCCCCCACACUGGGACUGAGACACGGCCCAGACUCCUACGGGGGGCAGCAGUGAGGAAUAUUGGUCAAUGGCGGCAACGCUGAACCAGCCAAGUAGCGUGAGGGAUUACGGCCCUAUGGGUCUUAAACCUCUUUUGUUGGGGAGCAACCUGUGCCACUUGUGGCACACUGCGAGUACCCUUCGAAUAAGCAUCGGCUAACUCCGUGCCAGCAGCCGCGGUAAUACGGAGGAUGCGAGCGUUAUCCGGAUUUAUUGGGUUUAAAGGGAGCGCGGACGGGAGAUUAAGUCAGCUGUUAAAUGGCGGCGCCCAACGCCGUCCUGCGGUUGAUACUGGUUUCCUUGAGUGCGGCAUGGGCAGGCGGAAUUCACGGUGUAGCGGUGAAAUGCUUAGAUAUCGUGAAGAACUCCGAUCGCGAAGGCAGCCUGCCGGGCCGUUACUGACGUUUAGGCUCGAAAGUGCGGGUAUCAAACAGGAUUAGAUACCCUGGUAGUCCGCACAGUAAACGAUGGACACUCGCUGUCGGCGACAGACAGUCGGCGGCCAAGCGAAAGCGUUAAGUGUCCCACCUGGGGAGUACGCCGGCAACGGUGAAACUCAAAGGAAUUGACGGGGGCCCGCACAAGCGGUGGAGCACGUGGUUUAAUUCGAUGCAAACCGAAGAACCUUACCUGGGUUUGACAUGUAAGUGGUAGGAGCUGGAAACAGUGACGAAUCUGCCGCAAGGUAGAUAGCUUACACAGGUGCUGCAUGGCUGUCGUCAGCUCGUGUCGUGAGAUGUUGGGUUAAGUCCCGCAACGAGCGCAACCCCUGCGGCUAGUUGCCAUCAAUACGGUUGGGCACUCUAGCAGGACUGCCAUCGACAAGAUGGAGGAAGGUGGGGACGACGUCAAGUCAUCAUGGCCCUUAUGUCCAGGGCGACACACGUGCUACAAUGGACGGUACAGAGGGAAGCGAGGCAGUGAUGUUGAGCGGAUCCCGAAAAGCCGUUCUCAGUUCGGAUUGAAGUCUGCAAUUCGACUUCAUGAAGCUGGAAUCGCUAGUAAUCGCAGAUCAGCCAAGCUGCGGUGAAUCCGUUCCCGGGCCUUGUACACACCGCCCGUCACACCACCCGAGCCGGGUGUACCCGAAGCCGGUGGCCUAACCGCAAGGAAGGAGCCGUCGAAGGUGUGUCUGGUGAGGGGGGUGAAGUCGUAACAAGGUAGCCGUA